RNAcentral lists this ribosomal RNA (446 nucleotides) under uncultured bacterium. Its description in RNAcentral is "partial 16S ribosomal RNA". It matches the Rfam family "Bacterial small subunit ribosomal RNA", at positions 338 to 795 of the family's 1533-position model. The record is from RNAcentral.
CCUACGGGAGGCUGCAGUCGAGAAUCAUUCACAAUGGGGGAAACCCUGAUGGUGCGACGCCGCGUGGGGGAAUGAAGGUCUUCGGAUUGUAAACCCCUGUCAUGUGGGAGCAAAUUAAAAAGAUAGUACCACAAGAGGAAGCGAAGGCUAACUCUGUGCCAGCAGCAGCGGUAAUACAGAGGUCUCAAGCGUUGUUCGGAAUCACUGGGCGUAAAGCGUGCGUAGGCUGUUUCGUAAGUCGUGUGUGAAAGGCGCGGGCUCAACCCGCGGACGGCACAUGAUACUGCGAGACUAGAGUAAGGGAGGGGGAAGCGGAAUUCUCGGGGUAGCAGUGAAAUGCGUAGAUAUCGAGAGGAACACUCGUGGCGAAGGCGGGUUCCUGGACAUUAACUGACGCUGAGGCACGAAGGCCAGGGGAGCGAAAGGGAUUAGAUACCCUUGUAGUC